Molecule: long non-coding RNA, 762 nt
Filed under: Fukomys damarensis (Damara mole-rat)
Lineage: Eukaryota; Metazoa; Chordata; Mammalia; Rodentia; Bathyergidae
Description: lncRNA (ENSFDAG00000025948.1)
Source: RNAcentral
AAUAGCAUACCAAAUCAGGCAAGAUGGUGUAUGAGUGUAAUCCCAGCAUUCUGGAUGGCUGAGGCAAGAAGAUCACAAGGUGAAGUUCAAUCUUACCAAUUUUGUGACUUAGGGAGACCCUUAGUGCAUAUCUGACAAAAAAAAGUCCAAGGAUAUACCUGUAGUUCAUUGUGGAGUUGUAGGGUACAAGCCCUAGCAAUACAAAAGUAAAAAACUAAUAGAUAGAUGAUAGCUACAUUCAAAACAUUAGAUAAAAAUAAUAAAAUAAAUAAAUAACCACUGAUUUACUUAGUAGGAAGAAAAAGAUGAGCCAUAGGGUUAUCUUAUCAGACAGGGAACUCCAGUUGUGGAAUUCUAAGACAUAGCCUCAUUUCCUUGGCAACAUGUCCAAACAGAAAUUGGAACCCUUAUUAUCAGGCAUCACACUGUAGUAACUGCCAUCGCCUGAGCUCACUUGGCCAGAAAUGGUCAACAGUGAACAUGCUGGUGUGCUUUCCCACUUCUUGAGGCUGCAACCCAGGCAGAGAAAGGAUAUGUCAAAGAUUGAGAAGAUGGUGGAUUCCAUCCAGACAACACACGCAACAUUACAGCAGUCUUCUGUCACCAAUGACCUACCAAAAUCAAGGAAAACAAUUUUUCAUCUAAGCAGAAUGUCAACUAUGCUUGCUUCUCUCCAAACUACAUUACCUGUACAUUUGGGCCCCAACUGAUGUAGUCUUCAGGGAAAUCCAAAAACUAAUAACAAUUUUAAAUAAAUCUGCA